CUUGCAAGCCAAUAUUAUAGAUCAAAAACCUCAAAUCCUCACCUUCCUCUCCUGCAUAAACCGAACCCUAGCUCAUCACCCUAACCUCAUCAUUUCUUCAACCAAAUUCAAUAACCAUGGAGGCAAAUUGAUCCUACGACAAAAAGGGAAACAAGGUUAUGAAUCAUUGAUUUGGAGAUUGAAUUAUGAAGUUUUGAUGGAGAUUCUUGGAAGGGAGUGGUUCGGCCAUAAGCAAACUCAUCAUAUUCAAGACCCGGCGAGACGAUUACUAACGGGACUCGGAACGUGACGAACGCGAUACCGUUUUACGAAUUCUCGAAGAUUUUGGUUAGCAAGUGUGUUUUAUUUCAGGUGAUAGUACUUUGAAGAGAUGGACUUCCAUUUUUGUUCCGGAAGUCUGCAACAUAUAAAGUAUGUAUUGAAGUACGCUUCAAUUCGUAGCGCUGCAGUAGUCAGUAGAUGUCAGUCUAUAUUUGUUGUUUGUACCGAACGAGAUUUAGCUAUUAACUCUGAUUUUAUAAAAUAUAUAUACACGAUUUAUAAAACUAUGUUUUUACCCGUUUGAUAUUUUCACCAAUUGUCUAUGAAUGAAAUUGGUAUGAAAUUGUAUGAUUCGGAACAAGGCAAUGCUGAGUUAUGUUAUCGCAGAGUAAGACCUUAGUUCCAAUCGAUUAUGCAUCGGUUUUGAAAGAACGUU
This is a long non-coding RNA of Mercurialis annua (annual mercury), 697 nucleotides long. RefSeq lists it as uncharacterized. The record is from RefSeq and is a predicted model, not a curated record. NCBI's taxonomy places the organism in Eukaryota, Viridiplantae, Streptophyta, Magnoliopsida, Malpighiales, Euphorbiaceae. The transcript has 4 exons.